CCUGGCGGCGAGUGGCGAACGGGUGAGUAAUACAUCGGAACGUGCCCAAUCGUGGGGGAUAACGCAGCGAAAGCUGUGCUAAUACCGCAUACGAUCUACGGAUGAAAGCAGGGGAUCGCAAGACCUUGCGCGAAUGGAGCGGCCGAUGGCAGAUUAGGUAGUUGGUGAGGUAAAGGCUCACCAAGCCUUCGAUCUGUAGCUGGUCUGAGAGGACGACCAGCCACACUGGGACUGAGACACGGCCCAGACUCCUACGGGAGGCAGCAGUGGGGAAUUUUGGACAAUGGGCGAAAGCCUGAUCCAGCCAUGCCGCGUGCAGGAUGAAGGCCUUCGGGUUGUAAACUGCUUUUGUACGGAACGAAACGGCCUUUUCUAAUAAAGAGGGCUAAUGACGGUACCGUAAGAAUAAGCACCGGCUAACUACGUGCCAGCAGCCGCGGUAAUACGUAGGGUGCAAGCGUUAAUCGGAAUUACUGGGCGUAAAGCGUGCGCAGGCGGUUAUGUAAGACAGUUGUGAAAUCCCCGGGCUCAACCUGGGAACUGCAUCUGUGACUGCAUAGCUAGAGUACGGUAGAGGGGGAUG
Molecule: ribosomal RNA, 583 nt
Filed under: Variovorax sp. EECC-177
Lineage: Bacteria; Pseudomonadati; Pseudomonadota; Betaproteobacteria; Burkholderiales; Comamonadaceae
Description: bacterial SSU rRNA
Rfam family: Bacterial small subunit ribosomal RNA
Source: RNAcentral